This 464-nucleotide ribosomal RNA is filed under the name uncultured bacterium. RNAcentral's name for it is "bacterial SSU rRNA". It matches the Rfam family "Bacterial small subunit ribosomal RNA", at positions 64 to 507 of the family's 1533-position model. The record is from RNAcentral.
GAACGCGAAAGUGGAGCAAUCCAUGAGUAGAGUGGCAAACGGGUGAGUAACGCGUGGGUGAUCUGCCUUCGAGCGGGGGAUAACGUUCCGAAAGGGACGCUAAUACCGCAUGACAUUCUGCUUUUGAAGAGGCGGAAAUCAAAGCUGGGGAUCGCAAGACCUAGCACUCGAAGAGGGGCCCGCGUCCGAUUAGCUAGUUGGUGAGGUAACGGCUCACCAAGGCAACGAUCGGUAGCCGGCCUGAGAGGGCGGACGGCCACACUGGGACUGAGACACGGCCCAGACUCCUACGGGAGGCAGCAGUGGGGAAUUGUUCGCAAUGGGCGCAAGCCUGACGACGCAACGCCGCGUGGAGGAUGAAGAUCUUCGGGUCGUAAACUCCUUUCGAUCGAGACGAAUUCCUCGGUGACGAACAAUCAUCGAGGUUGACGGUACCGAGAGAAGAAGCCCCGGCUAACUCCGUG